Molecule: unclassified non-coding RNA, 493 nt
Filed under: Hevea brasiliensis (rubber tree)
Lineage: Eukaryota; Viridiplantae; Streptophyta; Magnoliopsida; Malpighiales; Euphorbiaceae
Source: RNAcentral
CUCGAUUCCAUUAAAGACGAGAAUCUAAUCGGAAAAGGAGGUUCCGGCAACGUUUACAAAGUGACUGUCGGAAACGGAAAAGAAUUCGCCGUGAAGCACAUUUGGAACACUAAUCCGUACGAAGGAAAGAAGAAGAGUUACCGUAGUUCAUCGACGAUUCUGGUGAAACAGAGAACGAAGUCAUCGGAAUUUGAGUCGGAAGUGAAGACUCUAAGCUCGAUCCGCCACGUGAACGUGGUGAAGCUGUACUGCAGCAUCACGAGCGAGGUUUCAAGCCUGUUGGUGUACGAAUACAUGCCGAAUGGAAGCUUAUGGGACAGACUUCACACGUCGAGAAAAAUGGAGUUGGAUUGGGAAACAAGAUACGAAAUCGCCGUGGGAGCGGCGAAGGGACUGGAGUAUCUUCAUCACGGUUGUGACCGGCCGGUGAUCCACCGGGAUGUUAAGUCGAGUAACAUACUUUUGGAUGAAUUUCUGAAGCCGAGAAUCGCGG